This 344-nucleotide ribosomal RNA is filed under the name uncultured Desulfobulbus sp. RNAcentral describes it as "bacterial SSU rRNA". It matches the Rfam family "Bacterial small subunit ribosomal RNA", at positions 1037 to 1382 of the family's 1533-position model. The record is from RNAcentral. Lineage: Bacteria; Pseudomonadati; Thermodesulfobacteriota; Desulfobulbia; Desulfobulbales; Desulfobulbaceae.
GGUGCUGCAUGGCUGUCGUCAGCUCGUGUCGUGAGAUGUUGGGUUAAGUCCGCAACGAGCGCAACCCUUGCCUUUAGUUGCCAGCAGUUCGGCUGGGCACUCUAAAGGGACUGCCGGUGUUAAACCGGAGGAAGGUGGGGAUGACGUCAAGUCCUCAUGGCCUUUAUGACCAGGGCUACACACGUACUACAAUGGCCGAUACAAAGGGCAGCGACACUGCGAGGUGAAGCCAAUCCCGUAAAAUCGGUCUCAGUCCGGAUUGGAGUCUGCAACUCGACUCCAUGAAGUUGGAAUCGCUAGUAAUCGUGGAUCAGCAUGCCACGGUGAAUACGUUCCCGGGCCUU